GUGCAACAACUACACCACCAACCAUAGGAAGUGAUGGAGGAUCAGGAGUCCCAGUAAGUGGAAGUGUUGACUUAUUUAGGAAAAAAAAGAGAGGAAGGCCAAGAAAGUACGAUUCAGAUGGCAACCUGAGAGUUCAGCCCUUUCAUCAUCAGGCAGUGCCUGGAGUAACAUUAUCACCACCUGGUUUCUCCUUCUCUCCUCCUUCUGAUGGCUUAAUUUACUCUUCUUCGAAAAGGGGUCGAGGCAGGCCUCCUGGUUCUGGUAACUGGCAGCUACUUGCUUCUUUAGAUUUCAUCUCACAUAUAAAUUCUGAUCCUUGAAGGAGAGCUGUUUGCGAACACAGCAGGAGGGGACUUCACACCUCAUGUGGUAACUGUGAAUACUGGAGAGGAUGUUGCAGGGAAAAUUCUAUCAUUUGCUCAGAAGGGUCCUAGAGGAAUUUGUAUUCUGUCUGCCAAUGGAGCUGUUUCUAAU
Molecule: unclassified non-coding RNA, 474 nt
Filed under: Hevea brasiliensis (rubber tree)
Lineage: Eukaryota; Viridiplantae; Streptophyta; Magnoliopsida; Malpighiales; Euphorbiaceae
Source: RNAcentral